GGGUCUGGGUUAAGGGAUAGGUUAGGGUCUGGGUUAAGGGAUAGGUUAGGGUCUGGGUUAAGGGAUAUGUUAGGGUCUGGGUUAAGGGAUAGGUUAGGGUCUGGUUUAAUGGAUAUGUUAGGGUCUGGGUUAAGGGAUAGGUUAGGGUCUGGGUUAAGGGAUAGGUUAGGGUCUGGGUUAAGGGAUAGGUUAGGGUCUGGGUUAAGGGAUAGGUUAGGUUCUGGGUUAAGGGAUAGGUAAGGGUCUGGGUUAAGGGAUAGGUUAGGGUCUGGGUUAAGGGAUAGGUUAGGGUCUGGGUUAAGGGUUGG
This is a long non-coding RNA of Oncorhynchus tshawytscha (Chinook salmon), 308 nucleotides long. NCBI's taxonomy places the organism in Eukaryota, Metazoa, Chordata, Actinopteri, Salmoniformes, Salmonidae. The record is from Ensembl.